This 178-nucleotide ribosomal RNA is filed under the name Salmonella enterica subsp. enterica serovar Infantis. Its description in RNAcentral is "partial 16S ribosomal RNA". It matches the Rfam family "Bacterial small subunit ribosomal RNA", at positions 1 to 172 of the family's 1533-position model. Lineage: Bacteria; Pseudomonadati; Pseudomonadota; Gammaproteobacteria; Enterobacterales; Enterobacteriaceae. The record is from RNAcentral. RNAcentral also lists the same sequence under 17 other names.
AAAUUGAAGAGUUUGAUCAUGGCUCAGAUUGAACGCUGGCGGCAGGCCUAACACAUGCAAGUCGAACGGUAACAGGAAGCAGCUUGCUGCUUUGCUGACGAGUGGCGGACGGGUGAGUAAUGUCUGGGAAACUGCCUGAUGGAGGGGGAUAACUACUGGAAACGGUGGCUAAUACCGC